AGAGCGAACGCUGGCGGCAGGCCUAAUACAUGCAAGUCGAACGGAUCCUUCGGGAUUAGUGGCGGACGGGUGAGUAACACGUGGGAACGUACCCUUUGGUUCGGAACAACUCAGGGAAACUUGAGCUAAUACCGAAUGUGCCCUUCGGGGAAAAGAUUUAUCGCCAUUGGAGCGGCCCGCGUCUGAUUAGCUAGUUGGUAGGGUAAAGGCCUACCAAGGCUACGAUCAGUAGCUGGUCUGAGAGGAUGAUCAGCCACACUGGGACUGAGACACGGCCCAGACUCCUACGGGAGGCAGCAGUAGGGAAUCUUGCGCAAUGGGCGAAAGCCUGACGCAGCGACGCCGCGUGGGUGAUGAAGGCCUUCGGGUUGUAAAGCCCUGUGGGGAGAGACGAAUAAGUCGGAUCUAAUAACUCCGAUGAUGACGGUAUCUCCUUAGCAAGCACCGGCUAACUCUGUGCCAGCAGCCGCGGUAA
Molecule: ribosomal RNA, 475 nt
Filed under: uncultured bacterium
Lineage: Bacteria
Description: SSU rRNA
Rfam family: Bacterial small subunit ribosomal RNA
Source: RNAcentral